Long non-coding RNA from Chelonia mydas (Green sea turtle), 1538 nucleotides. RefSeq lists it as uncharacterized. The record is from RefSeq and is a predicted model, not a curated record. The transcript is spliced from 5 exons. Lineage: Eukaryota; Metazoa; Chordata; Testudines; Cheloniidae.
GCGGCGGCAGCAGGAGGGACCCCGCGCUGCAAGGAGCCGCCGCCGCCGCUGCUUCAUCCUGCGGCACCGGGAGGCGGAGAGGAGCCCGGGCGCGCGCAGGUGGCAGUGUAGAAGCCAAGAACAAAAACUGACAGAAGUUACUUUUCUCUUUAAGAAAAUGAAGAGAGCGUACACAUGACUAAGCACAGGAACCUGAAAAACCACAGAAACUAUUCCCUGGGACCAAAUUAUUAAAAUAUUUUGAGGCCCUCGCUGAAAGAAGGUACAGACCAGUGGACUGAACUUCUGUUAUAUAGGGCAAUUUGUAAGGGGAUAGCCAGGCUAACCCCAGCACCUUUUGAGUAGGCAGUUUGCCGAUCACCUCCACCCCAAAGGGAGCAUUUAACCUGUAGCUUAUCGGGAAAGGGAAAUUAGCUAAAUAAGGUGAAAAUCAACACAACAAACUUUUAUGGGAUUGCCUUGGAAGUGUUAUGAGGGGAUUGGGAGAAAAGAUCAGCUUUGUGGGUCAUUGUUAAUGAACAGUGCAGUUGAGCCAGUAUAAUUGCUGACAUUCAGGAAGCCUAGCUGAAAGGUGGAGAAAAGACUGCAGACAGGCAUUUUGGAGAGAGUAUGGUGCUUACACCGUAAGUUUCAACCAGUGAAGGGCCACUACUUCAGUUAAGAAGCAUAAACUUAAAUAUAGACUGGUUAUCAAGGAUCAAAGGCAGUUUUAUGUGAGACAUGUUGAAUGUCCCUGUUUCUACAAGAGGAUGAAGGUUUGAGCUGAAGUCUCUGGCAAGUGAAAAUUCCAGAUGGAAUAGACAAAGAGUAAGAAGAUGGAAGAAUAUAGGACACAACUGAAGAGUGUGUGUUUGGAGACAUACAACUAGAUGCCCUAGUCAAGGUAAUACUGGGACAGCUGGAGCCCCACUCAGAAGAAGAGAAAAUAAAAUGUAUCUCCAUCUCAAUUCUGUGCAUAGGUCACCGAUGCUAAUUUAAUGGGAUAGCUAUUCCAUGUGAGGGGCCCGCCUGUUGUGCGUGGUGGUAAUUCCAGAGCCUAACUCGUAGUACACUUUCCUGAAAUAGGCACUAAAGCAGAAGGAAAAAUACAGCCAUCAGCCAUGACACAGCACUGAAAAGCAUCCUUGCUUAAUGAACAUAUGUAAAGCUACAGCAAGUUAAAGUGUACCACCUAAAAUUUUGACCUAGAGACAUCCUGCUAGAUAAUGGAAUAAUCAGUGAAGAAAAGGAAAGUACUGAAAGGGACAAGUGGCAAGUGAUCCUGAUCAGUGACUCCUUGGUGACAGCCUGACAGAGCCAUGCCCUCAGAACAGGGGAGAUCUGCUCUUUUCCUUGUAUGUGUUCAAGUUUACAGAUUUGACAAACAGAGCAAAUAUUGUCCUGAAGAAGUCUGAGAAAUUUCCUUUUAUUGUAGCUGCUUAUUUACUAGAACUAGUAACAAUUUUUCAACCAACAAGAUUUUUGUCAAAAAAUGGCGUUUUCUGAAAAUAGAAUUUUUUUUUGCAACAUAUUGUCCAUGUCAAUAAAUUGUUAAUGAA